Molecule: long non-coding RNA, 6294 nt
Organism: Mya arenaria
Lineage: Eukaryota; Metazoa; Mollusca; Bivalvia; Myida; Myidae
Exons: 4
Source: RefSeq, a predicted model, not a curated record
UCUGUUGAAGUAGUCCGUAUUUUUUUUAAAUAAAAGCAAUAAUUAAAUGUAGUGUUUAAGAGUUGUAUUCAUUGCUUUCAGUUUAAAUUGAUUGCCAGUGAAGUGUAUUAUUGCAAACAUAAUUACGAUUCCCAAGAGCUAAGUCAUAAAUUUUAACUACUAAAUAAGAUUACUACGCGAUCUAUUUGCAGCGGACUUAAACGUACCACUUUUUAAGUAUGUAAACCGUCCAUAUACAUCCGAGGUUGUUUUUGAAAAAAUGGCCGAGGAGCUCCGAAUGGGAUAAUUACGAAUCAGUUCGCCAUUUGACUAGUUCCUGUUCGAUUUUGCAAUAGAAGAUAAAGGUUGGUAAUCUUCUAAUAUGUGAGGCUUUGAAAAUAUAUGGCAAAUUAAAACCAGAGAUUUUUUUAAAUAACGCUUUUAGAAAAAAAUAUCAUAAAUGCACGGUUAUUGAGAAAACUUCUCUUUUUUAUUUAAAUAUUUUUACAACAAAGAACAAACCACGAAUGCGCAGAAUGUAUCUUACAAUAAUCUUAGAAAAUCGGUGAACCAGUCUAUUAUCUGAUGACCCGGUUAUGACACGGGUCAGAUGCAAGCGUCCAGUAGACUAGGGAUAUCGAGGUCAACACGCUGGCGGUUGGGAAAAGGUAUUAUCAUGUUCUUUUUUACGUAGUGAACUGAAAAACUAUUGUUAUUUUAUAUUUAUAAUUUUAAAAGUAGGUUUCGUGUCCUGCGAUUUAAACAGUAGCACGUUUUUUGCGGUAUUUCUACUUUCAUUUUGGACAACUUUUGAAGGCUUUCCCAAAUUGCGUCAUUAAAACCAGGGAUGACAGCCGUCCAUUGAAAACGAUUCUUGCAUUUCAGACAUAGGCGAGUGUGCGGUCAAGGUCAAAAUUGCGAGAGGGUGAUUCGAAGUGAAAUACUGCAACAAAAAACGUUCGAUUUGGACAUUUACGCGUCUAACUCAAUGAGUCAAAAUGUUUCUACCACAAGAGUUGUUAUAUAUUGAACAGAUAGGGCUUCAAGAUGACAAAAAAAGCACCAACAAUAAUGGGCCAGGACUGAGGAGUUCCAAGAAAUGAGUAUUCUUCAGCCCACAAAUAUCAGUGCUGCCCCACUGCCCAAAACCAGAGUGUGGCAACAACUAAAUGGACCCUGACAAAUGUCCUCUAUGUUAGAGCCAGUCCCUUACCCAAGUGACCUACUAUUGCACAGCUGAGGUUGUUAUCAAACGCAGCAGUAGGUAUGAAAUGCGGAAACUGUUCCAACUUUAUCAUCAACAGUUGAGUUACACCUCGUCACAAUACCUGAACUGAAAACAAUCGGUGACGAUACUGCACUUCACUUCUACCUCACAGUGCUCUUCCCUAUAAACGCUAGAGUAAAGUUUGCAAAUGGAAAACUUGUCAUUGCAAGCGUGAAAAGACCAAUUGAUUCUUAACAAAACAACCUGCCUCAAUGCUUUAGCUGACACUACAUCAAAUCAACACAAGGCAAUUUGUUUUUCUCGCAACCUGACCGCUCAACUAUUUGAAGAAUGAGGUGGGCUAUACUAUUAGCCCUGGCGUCGCUUUCCGGAUAAAGUUUUAGGGUAAGUUAGGAUUUUCACUUUGAAGUCCAAUACCCUUCAUUCAAUUGACUUAAUACGUCACACAGUUGUUCAGGGCAAUCAUAUAAUGGGAAAAGAUAACUCCUUUAUACAAGCUAUGGCCCCUGAUUGACUAUCGAAUUUACGUUAAAGUUUUAGGGCAGGUUGGGAUAUUUAUUAAUAACUUCUAUACCAUUCGUUCAUUUAACUUAAUACUUCACACAUUUGUUCAGGACCAUCACACAAUGAGGUUACAUAACUCUGUAUUAUCUUUAAUACAAGUUAUAGACCCUGAUUGACUUAGGUUAAAGGUUUAGGGCAGGUUCAAGUUUUAGAACAAGUAGGGAUUUUCACUUAUAAGUCCAAUACCCUUCAUUCCGUUGACUUAAUACUUAACACAGUUGUUCAGUUCCAUCACAUUAUGAGGUAAGAUAACUCCAUGUCAUAUUUUAUACAAAUAAUGGCCCCUGAUUGACUAUGAAACUUAGGUUAAAAUUUUAGGGCAGGUUGGGAUAUUUAUUGAUAACUUCUAUACCCUUCAUUGAAUUGACUUAAUACUUCACACAACUGUUCAGGACCAUCACACAAUGAGGUUACAUAACUCUAUAUUAUCCUUAAUACAAGUUAUGGCCCCUGAAUGACUUAGGUUAACGUUUUAGGGCAAGUUAAAGUUUUAGGGCAAGUUGGGAUUUUAAUAAAAAAAACUUCUAUACCUUCAUUCAAUGCACUUAAUACUUCGCAGAAUUAUUGACAACCAUCUUACAACAAGGAACAUAACUUCAUGUUAGCCUAAAUACAAAUUAUUGCCCUUGAAUGUUUUUUUUUAAUCUUUUUUUAAUUUCUUUUGAAAGGCACAUUUUUAUAUUCCUAACCACAUUUUCAUAAAGGGAAAAUUAUUUAUUAGAAUGACCUGUGUCACUGUUCGGAUGGGCUGGUGUUAGGACAGUGUCAAAGUCACCUUAUGUAUCGAAUAAUUUAGCUAGGUUUGACAUAAAGAGACCAAACUUGGUAUAUGCAAAGAGUUUAAGGAGACCUUUUUUGGGGAAUGCGUUUGAGGCCCCUAUGAUCAAGGUCAAGGUUGCUAUUAUUAAAAAAAGGGUUGUUUUUGAAUAACUUUUUCAUAAGUAAGGUUCUUCAUAUUGGUACCAAAUUUGGUAUAUAUGAAGAGUUUAUAGAGACCUUUCCUGAGAUUGUGUUUUUGACCCCGAGAGGUCAAAAUAGAAAUAUGGUAAGUACUGAAUAACUCAAGUAAGGGUUGACAUGGUAACUUAGUUUAUGGGGCAUGUUUAUGCAGAGCUUUAAUGGAUGCUUUUUGGCCCCCUAGGGUCGAGGCUACUGUUACUAAAAAUAGAUUACUGUUUCAGUUAAGGAUAACAGUUAAGGCUGGCAUACUGUGACCAGACUUGAUAUAUGCAGGAAGAGCUUAUAGCGCGGUCACGAGUAUGAGGACAACAUUUGUACCAAGUAAUAUGGUAAUCCAUCAAUGCAUAAGUAAGUUAUAGCACGGACACGAAAUGUUACAGCCAGACGGACAGACAGACUGACGAAGUGUUUCUAUAAUCCGCCAAUAAUCCCCACCCCACUCCGUGGCGGGGGAUUUGAGAUUUGAUAUUUAUAAAAUAGUGUACUUCCAUUUUUGCCAUUGUUGUGUUUUACCAAUAUGUUCAGUUACAGUUGUGCCAAUAUCUUAAAGUCACCAUAUAUGACUUUACAGAAUCUUUACAUUAUUUAAUUACUUCAUCAUAAUGAUUACUUAUCUUCCUAUUGUUUUCUUAAAUGUUCUGCAAUUUCAAUAAUUAUUUCCAAAACAUAUUCCUAAAAUCAGAGACAUUUGACAGUAUUAUAAGACUUCUCUCUCAAGGUUUUGUCUAUCUGAACACUGAUGUUGACAUAAUGCUCUGUGCAUAUCACUAUGCUUUUGCUAAGUUUAAUUCCAAAUAAUGUUUAAUUUAAUGUCUUAUAUGUACAUAUAUAAUAUUUAACAAUGUUCUGUUUUUCAACAUCUUAAACAGUUACAAAAUGUGAAUUUACAAGAAAUACUUGUAUUUAUAUCACUAUGUCAUUUUGCCAUGUCACCCUUCUUUACUACCUAUUUUGCUUAAAGCUGCACUCUCACAGAUUUACCAUUUUUACAACUUUUUUUUAUUGUUUGUCUUGGAACGUGCAAAUUUUGUGUAUAUAUCCGCAAACAAAUGAUUUAAGAUUACUGACAAAAGAUCAAAUCACAGAUUUUUAUAUUUCCUUUUGAAAAUUAAUGUCUUAUGGCUUAAGCUGUUACUAACAGUUUAAGAAAAUUGCAUAAAACAAUUUUUGAACUUAAGUAUAAAAAUCUGCAAUCUUUUUUUGUCAGCAGUCUUAUAUAACUGGUUUCAAUGGAUUUUCGCCAAAUAUGGCUCCUUUCAAGUCAAAAAAUAAAAAAAGUGUGUCAAAACGUUCAAUCUGUCUCUUUUAUAGGCACUGACUCUCCAUUUACAAACAUUAGAAUUCAUAAUGCUUAAAAAUGAAUGCCUGUUUCAACUUCUCAUCUAACCCUGCUUUUUUUGGCAUGACCGUUAACCAUUCCAUUGUGUGUUGUUGUUUUUCAUUUUCUAGAUUUAUGGGUUUUCAAACUUUAAAAAAUAAUGGCAUUUUGGCUAUCAACCAUAUCAGCAAUGCUUAUACUGUCUGAUAAUAUAAAACUCCAGGCAUAUCAUUUAUAGUUUUGGGUCUGACAACUUCAAACUUUUAAGUUAGUAAAUCAUUUAACAAAUAUACUUAUUUUCAACCCAAUUAAUUCCAACAUAACAACUGAAACUAAGUCAAUUAAGCCCCCCCCCCCAUGUAAAAGAUAUUUAUCACCCUAUAAAUAGUAACAUUCAAAUACUGUGCAUUUCCUUACUAGGUACAUAUUACUAGGUUUUCAUGUAUUUUCAUUUUUCUUUCCUUUCAUGCCUGUUCUAUUGCAUUGCCUAUGUCUUCUUGUACAUUGUGAAUACUUCAGUGAAAUAGUGGCAGCAUGUAUUUUAGUAUUGUGUUAAUUUGUCUGUGUGCAUUCUUAUUCCAUGUAUUGGUCAUAAUGUAUAUGUCGAACUUACACCAAAUUAUAACAAAUAUUCUUUCUAUUGUUUAUUACAUUUUAGUACAACUCUACCAUUCCCAACAUACAUACUAACUCUGUUGUAUUUUUUGUUAUCAUGCUUUUUACUCUUUGUUGUAUACAAAAUGUAUAUAAAAUGUCAUAUUGCUCAUGUUCUUUCUUGUUUGUACAUAUGUUCACAUUUCAAUAAUACUCAAUGCAGUAUUUAUUCUUAUAUUUCAAUGUCAUAUUUUAAAGAAUUGAGAAGUUCUACAGGCGAAAUAACAUUAACACAUAGUCUUCCACUAAACUUUGUACAAAUGCUUCAUUUUCAUGUAUUAAAACAUAUUCCUCACUUCAUUUCAUUGUAACCUAUAAUUUUCAGCACUUUCUUCAUAAAUCUUUUGCGUCAUUAUAUUUCCACACACAUUAAGUGAUCACCUUCCUAGUCAUACCACUAUCAACCUGCAUCACAUUCUUCUCAUCAUCUGCUUAUAUCUUAUGCCUUAAAAGUGCAUAAUGCAUGUUGAUUACAUAAUGUUAUUACCUAUAAAUGUCCUUAUAUGCAAAACUUGUUUCCUUUGGAAAACUUAAAACUGUCUUGACCUAAACUUUACCUUCCUGUUGUAUCAUUGUAUUCCUAUUGAGUCAUUGCCUUUCUUUUGUUUUAAAAUGUUCAUACUUCUAUUACAUGUGACUUGAGUGUUGACAAAAAUGUUAAUUUCCAUUUCAGAACCGUAUACAUUUCUUUUCAAUAUCUUAAAAAUACUUCUUGUAAUAUCUUCUCUUUAGAUUUAAACAAUACUGUCAUUUUGGCUAUUACCAAUACCAACAAUGCAAAUACUGAUAGUGUAUUAUGUAUAUUAUAUGUUCUUAAGUAUGUUCAAAAUACUUGUGUGUAAUAAUAAUAUAGUGUAUUAUGUAUGUUCUGUAUAUUAUAUGUUCUUAAGUAUGUUCCAAAGCUUAUAAUAUGAUUAUUUUUCAAUCACUGUUUUCUAAGUCAUUGCUCUGUGUCCACAUACUUUUAAAUCACUAUUUAUGUUAUUUUAUUCUUAAGAGCAUGUUCAUUUCAGGAUCAGGGUGGGGUUUUUUCACACUUAGUACCAUGUACACGUUGCACAUUUCUUAGAACAGCUUUCUUGUUCCAUCCUGCAUGCCUAUAAAUCAUCUAGCCACAGAACAAGGAAAAUGACAUUAAUAAUGAUGGUCACAUUUCUUUCUUUCAGCUCAUGGAUAACCGACUUCUUUUAGUUUAUGUUAAAUGUAUUUUUUUAAUUGUGUUGAAACCUGUUUCAUAAGCAAACAGUUUUAUGUGUGUUUCAGUUAGAAACAAUGACUUUGUAACACUUAAUUAUACCGGUCAACUUUUUUUCGCGGAUUAUUACCCAAAAAAUAAACAUUGUUUAAAGCAGCAUGUCAUUAAUUAGUUUUUUGGAUAAACAUUUGGUGCUACUCUUGUUUAAAGUCAACAUUUCACCAAAGUACAAAUUCUCAACGUUUCAAACUUUGCCCAGAAUUUACCAAAUCAUGUUGGCAUAUUUAAAAUUUCAGCUAUCAUAUCAGCCACUCCAAAAGAAAACCACCACUGUGACCAUGUUGUAUUUUAUAAAUGUGUGUGUAUAUAGAUACAGUUCAUGAAUAAAGUUAUUUG